This 484-nucleotide ribosomal RNA is filed under the name uncultured bacterium. RNAcentral describes it as "partial 16S ribosomal RNA". It matches the Rfam family "Bacterial small subunit ribosomal RNA", at positions 29 to 507 of the family's 1533-position model. The record is from RNAcentral.
AGUGAACGCUGGCGGCAGGCCUAACACAUGCAAGUCGAGCGGCAGCGCGGGGGCAACCCUGGCGGCGAGCGGCGGACGGGUGAGGAAUUCGUCGGAAUCUGCCUUUUUGUGGGGGAUAACGUAGGGAAACUUACGCUAAUACCGCAUACGUCCUACGGGAGAAAGUGGGGGACCGCAAGGCCUCACGCAGAAAGAUGAGCCGACGACCGAUUAGCUAGUUGGUGGGGUAAAGGCCCACCAAGGCGACGAUCGGUAGCUGGUCUGAGAGGAUGAUCAGCCACACUGGGACUGAGACACGGCCCAGACGCCUACGGGAGGCAGCAGUGGGGAAUAUUGGACAAUGGGCGCAAGCCUGAUCCAGCCAUGCCGCGUGUGUGAAGAAGGCCUUCGGGUUGUAAAGCACUUUUGUCCGGAAAGAAAUCCCUGGAGCUAAUACCUUCGGGGGAUGACGGUACCGGAAGAAUAAGCACCGGCUAACUUCGUG